CCAGGGGCAACGUCAGUUCCGCUGCGCAACGGCGCCGGGGUUGUUGGCUGCGCCGCACAGUUCCGGCCUUGGCGGCUACUGGAGGCGAAUGUCCAGGCGGCACCACGGUUCUUGACGCUUGCGGCGGGGCGCCCCGCGGUAUGAGGUUCUCUGCACUGCACUGUGCUGUCUUGCUGAUGGGAUUCCUCCACCCACCCCAGCACCCAGCCCUGCCCCGAAAGCAAAGUUUUCCUGUCUUGGAGAGUCCUCCAGCAUUGAAGACCUGGAGGAGUGACCGUGCAGUCGAAGAUGCAGGUGGAGAGCCUGGCCUCCAGCCCGACCUUGAGCCUAGACCAUGACCCAGCUGCCUCCAGAAGCCAUGGCCAGCAGGAACAGGGACUGGAGUCCCAGAGUAGCCCUACCCAGGCAGUGGAUGAAGCGCUCUACUCCCAGAAUCCAGGCAGUGCAUGCAUUUUUGAGCUCUCUGCAUCUGACCAAACCUCUGGGGACAGGGAGCUGCAUGGUAUGCCAGGACAGUGGCCUCCCAAUGUGGCCUCCGGCCCCCAGUGACCCCGCCCCAGGGCUUCCCAGGACCCAGGCUGCAGUGGCCUGCUACGUGUCUUCCACGGACAAUGCCCAUGCAGAAGUGUGCCCUCUUACACCUGAGAGUGUGGUCACAAGCUCACUGCUAGCCCCCCACAUCUCUGCAGUCUUGUUCUUCUCAGGGGGCCCAGCCUUCAGGAGGGAGGGGCUGGUCCCAUUCCCAUUCUUUCUCUCCAGCUUCCAAAAGGACCCACGAGUUCUCGUCUCAGUCUGAGCCAGCAUGGACUUCUUCCCCAGUGGGCAGGCCCUGGCACAGCCUCGACAAGAGCUCCCAGCGUGGCCCUCCUGAGCCACAGUGUCCAGUGUAGGGCCCUGGGCUGCUGGUCCCUCCCAGCACCCACCAGAAGCAGGGCUGCCUGAAACCUGUCACCCCUGCCAGGGCUCCCCAGGGUGCACUGAUUCAUGAGAGGCAAACAGAAGAAGCAGGUAGCCCGAGUGCCGUGGCUCCUGUCUGCACUCCCAGCACUGCGGGAGGCCAGUGCAAGAGAUUCAUCUGAGGUCAGGAGUUUGAGAGCAGCCUAGGUAACACAGCAAUACUCCUAAAAAGAAAUUUGCUAGGUGUGGUGUCUUACACCUGUAAUUUUGGCACAGGGCUCUUACACCUGGGGUCUGAGUGCAGGUUUCUGAGGUGGGGUGUCCAAGAGUGGGCCACACUGCCAGGAACCACCCAGGGAAGCUUGCUGCCUCCCUGUUUCCAUAGUGACCGUAAUAAACCAAGUCCAGUUCCCAAAGCGCAGCCCACAUGACAGCCUUCUGCUGGAGAGGGGACAGUUUAGGAAGAUCAGUUCCAGCUCCAGUGUACUAGCUGUGUGUCUCCUGUUUUUUGUUUUUUUUUUUUUUGAGACGGAAUUUCAUUUUUGUUGCCCAGGCUGGAGAGCAAUGGCACUAUCUUGGCUCACCGCAACCUCCACCUCCUGAGUUCAAGUGAUUCUCCUGUCUCAGCCUCCUGAGUGUCUGGGAUUAUAGGUGCCUGCCACCACGCCCAGCUAAUUUUGUAUUUUUAGUAGGGACGGGGUUUCUCCAUGUUGGUCAGCUGGUCUCGAACUCCUGACCUCAGGUGAUCCUCCCGCCUCAGCCUCCCAAGUGCUGGGAUUAUAGGCAUGAGCCACCGCACCCAGACCCCCAGAUUCAAAGACUUUAAAAUGCUUGGGGCUACAUAAAGGGCAGCACUUCUCACGAGGGCUUCAGGAAGGGGCAUUCUUUGGCAUGGAGAUGGAGGUGGCAGUGCCUUUUCACUCUCCCCGUGAGGUCUUGUGCUGUGCUGGGCCUUGGUGUCCAGAGAUGAGCAGAGAGGAGGCAGAGCCUCUGCCAGCCUGGUAUGAGGAAGCAGGGUUGUGGCUGGCCCCCUCCCCUGCUGGCUCUGCCCUCGGGAUUACAGAGGUGGAGCUUAUCCAUGAAUUUGACUGUCAGGAAUGAGCCUCCGGUGCUCUGCAGCCACCCGCAGGGUGCUCUGGUAGGCCCUGGGCUCAGAGUGCAAGGGGGCAUCUCCUCUCGGGUAACCAUGGGCUCAGAUCUGUCAUUAUCCUGGAGAUCAGGGUGGGGGCAGAGGCUGCAUGCAGGAGAUUCUAGCCCUCGAGAGGAGGUGGGGCCAAGUCCCAGGCCUGCAACCCUGGCCACCUGCUGACCAGCAGUGCAGUUGUGAGCAGCAACACACAGCCCACGGGUCCUGCUCAGGCCUCCGUGGCCUGACUUGGGGGUUGAGGGGAGCUCAGGAGAACCCCAAUGACCAGCCAGCAGAGUCCCCCUACCCACACCCAGUGCACACACAGGCAGGGGGCAUCCCAUGAUUCAGGCAUCGUCAUACACGAGGGCAAACUCUGGGUGGUGAGCCUGACCCCAGCUGGCCCUCCACGAAUGGUGACCACACCCAGCCAGUGGGCAGUGCAGCCUUGGGUGUCCAGUGGGGCUACGAGAUGCACAGAGCCGGGUUCUGAGUAUAUCGUGCCAAGGCCAGAUGUCGUGAAGGUGGCCCCUGGCACAACGCCCACCAGGUCCAAGAGAGGGACUGAGACCACCUCAAUGCUGCAGUUCCUGGGGUCAGGCGGAGUCCACGUGGGGAAAGGGGCAGGGGAGACCACGUGGUGCAGAGUGCGGCUUUGCCAGCAGAGGGAGCCCUCGCGGGGCUGGGCCCAGGGCUGUGGGUGGCUGCAGAGGCUGCGGUGGGAAUGUCCCUGCAGAGAGGGCCCAGCCCCCUGUCCUCUGCAUUCCAGCCACUUGCCACAGGCCAAGCCCUAGGAGAAGGGCCCAGGCUCCGUGAAUAGAAGGUGCACAGAGAGACCAAGGAGACCUGGUCCAGGGAGGGGAUAGCUCCAUCUCCUCUCCCCAGACACCCCAACAGAUGGAGACCUUCACCAGCCGUCCUGUCCAUGGCUGGUGUAUUUGUGGAUGAGUAAAGCAUCUUAACGAGA
Molecule: non-coding RNA, 2990 nt
Organism: Callithrix jacchus (white-tufted-ear marmoset)
Lineage: Eukaryota; Metazoa; Chordata; Mammalia; Primates; Cebidae
Source: RefSeq, a predicted model, not a curated record